RNAcentral lists this long non-coding RNA (608 nucleotides) under Nicotiana benthamiana. RNAcentral's name for it is "long non-coding RNA (NBEN_LNC033675)". The record is from RNAcentral. Lineage: Eukaryota; Viridiplantae; Streptophyta; Magnoliopsida; Solanales; Solanaceae.
UCUUAUUCUUCAGAGAAGAAGCAACCGUUUCCAAAGCUUCUUCUUAAGCAAAGAAAAUAACGACCAUCCCUCCUCUACAGAUAACACAACAGCCAUCUUCAACUCCAAAAUCCCAAGCUCCAUGAACGACCAAAAAAGGCCUUCGUCUUGAACCCAACAUGCAAAAACAGACCGAGACCAACCGACGACCUUUAGUCCAAAACAAAAAACAAAUCGAGAACAGUUAAUAAAAUGAAUUAAAAAAAGCUAAAAACAGUAAGAGUCCAAAAGCUCGUUUAGAGUCCUUUUCCGGCGAGUUUCGAGUUUUCCAAUUGAGUUUGGAUGACUUAGUUCAAUGACUGUUUCUAUUGCUCCCUGGUCGAAGUCCGUUCGAUGUGUGCUAUGUUGGUUCUGUUCGAGUUCGAUCGUUGUUGGAUUUUUGCUCGAAGCUGCGCUUUCUAUCUAUUAUAGCUGCUGUAAUUUGUCGAUAAUUGAAAGCUUCUUCUGAAGCUGCUUAGUAGAAAUAAUGAAAGGCAUCAGUAGAUUCCAUAGAAAUUCUUAACUGAUUUUGCCAAGAAAGCCAAGGCAUUCCUAUUGAUGGUUCGUUCGAGUUUGUGUAUCCAGUUUCC